UUUCAUCACAAAUUUCUGUUUAUUCACCCAAAGUGCAAGAGUAAAAAUACAGAACAGGUGAAGUUAAAUAGCUAAAACGUAAAAGAAUUUACAAAAAAGAAGAUUUUUUUUCUAGAAAAGAUCAGAAGUAGUGGAUAAUGCAGUUUAUUUCUGGGACAGUCUCUCCAGCACUGACACCGUACGUCCCAUCAGUCCAACCAAGGUGUUUGAAUUUUCAUCCAUCCUCUGGAUGUUCUGGAGCAUGGCAGAGGUCAGGUCUUGGUCUCUGGAUGUUCUGGAGCAUGGCAGAGGUCAGGUCUUGGUGUCUGGAUGUUCUGGAGCAUGGCAGUGGUCAGGUCUUGGUCUCUGGAUGUUCUGGAGCAUGGCAGUGGUCAGGUCUUGGUCUCUGGAUGUUCUGGAGCAUGGCAGAGGUCAGGUCUUGGUGUCUGGAUGUUCUGGAGCAUGGCAGUGGUCAGGUCUUGGUGUCUGGAUGUUCUGGAGCAUGGCAGAGGCCAGGUCUUGGUGUCUUCUGAACUGUUCCUCUGACCUCUCCAGAUACUGCAGCAGAUCCAC
Amphiprion ocellaris (clown anemonefish) is the source of this 552-nucleotide long non-coding RNA. Lineage: Eukaryota; Metazoa; Chordata; Actinopteri; Pomacentridae. The record is from Ensembl.